UCCUACGGGGCGCAGCAGUGAGGAAUAUUGGUCAAUGGGCGGAAGCCUGAACCAGCCAAGUCGCGUGAGGGAAUAAGGCCCUACGGGUCGUAAACCUCUUUUGCCGGGGAGCAAGGGCCGGGACGAGUCCCGGUCCGGAGAGUACCCGGAGAAAAAGCAUCGGCUAACUCCGUGCCAGCAGCCGCGGUAAUACGGAGGAUGCGAGCGUUGUCCGGAAUCACUGGGCGUAAAGGGCGCGUAGGCGGUUU
Molecule: ribosomal RNA, 248 nt
Filed under: uncultured bacterium
Lineage: Bacteria
Description: partial 16S ribosomal RNA
Rfam family: Bacterial small subunit ribosomal RNA
Source: RNAcentral